UAUUAUUGAUUUUUUUCCAUUGGUUUUUUGGUUUUUUUGGGAGGAGGAGAGGUGCGGUGUUGUUUUGAUUUUCAGUAUAAUGUACUGGAAUCCAAAGUUACUUUGUUUUUUGGUUUCUAACCUGCAUGGCAUUUUGAAAUUGCCCUUACAGAAUGUGUGUACACUAAAGUUCUAGUUCACACCAUCUUGUUCCUUCUCGAAAAGGACUAUAUGACUUACUGCUGGGAGAUAGGAACCCAAAUCCUGCAUGAAGAUUUAGAUCUUCAAAAUUGCUUCCCUUUGAGUCCACUGAGUUCAGUAUACCCGGCUCAAGAACUAACUGUCUGGAAGACCUCAAGUAAAUCACUGUGCCUUAGUUCCACAUCUGUAAAAUGGGAAUAUCAUCGUCUACAUCAUACCAUGACUAGAAGAUUAAAUCCACUGUUUAUAUUGUUUAUAUACUACAGUAAUGUGGGUUAUGGAAAUGCCAUGGAAACUAGGAGUCAACGGAAUUCUGUGAUACAAUCAGUAAAUUAUUCCAUCUGUAACUGCAAUUACAAACUACUGUUUUUAAAGGUGAGAAACUUUAAUGGAAUUUAGGUGGCAAUACUGUCAUACCAAGUUCAUUAUUGAGUUAGAGGAUGUGAUCUCUACAAGUCAUUGUAUCCAAUUACUUUGAGGUAAGUCUAUUUGUAGACCUAAAUCAUUUCAUGAUGAAAUAAAUAGCAGUCUUUUAAAUGGGCCAGUCUGUGUACUAAUAUUUCUCAGAACUUCCGGCAGGUAUACUGGGCUUUAUCUUUCAUAUAUGUCAAGGAAUAGCUGUGAUGGGAUUUCUUUCCUCUCCCUGUUCUUUUACAAUGAUUUUAAAAUUUUACUUAUUUUUAAUUAUGAUCUGCUUGUUAAUUUUCUGCUCAUUUCUGAGUUUGUGCAUCUUUUGGAAAUCAAAAUAUUCCAGAGAAAAUUAAGACUGGUAUGUAGUAACUCAAUUAGUACCUGAAUUUAAGCAUUUUCUAACUACUCAUCUGCUGGUGCCUGUCAGCAACUUCAGUUAUUUGAUAGUCAAGGCUAAGCUAUUUAGUUUGAAAGUAAAGUAGGAAAAUAAAGGUGAUAGCCCUUUCUAAUUGCAUUCUCUAAAACACACUUCACCUGCUAGAGAGGCUAACAGGAUGAAAAAUUUGCUUAGAUAUUAUAUUCAGUCUCAGUUGAAAGUUAGUAAAUAAAUUCCUGUCUUUCUGAUUGUCUCCUUUACAGCUGUAGGAUAGUGAGAUGGCCAUUUUUUUGUAUUUUAAAUAAACACUGUCACUCUGAAGCAAACCUGA
Long non-coding RNA from Catharus ustulatus (Swainson's thrush), 1298 nucleotides. RefSeq lists it as uncharacterized. The transcript is spliced from 2 exons. NCBI's taxonomy places the organism in Eukaryota, Metazoa, Chordata, Aves, Passeriformes, Turdidae. The record is from RefSeq and is a predicted model, not a curated record.